GACAAAGACAAGUCAGAAGGAACAGAAUGGGAACACAGGAGGGAACUAACAACCUGGACAUUGUUUCAAGCUAAACAAAGAAUUAAAGGCUCAGACAAGAAAAAAUUCAGGGAACAGGCCAUGUUAUGGAGCGGAUGUAUCACACAGAAGCUUGUUUUUAAUACAGGACGUGAACCCAGGAGACUGAUAGUUGUUGUAAUGAAGAAAGAGAAGAAGAAAACCUGAGGCGACAAGCGGAGAGAGAAGACCAAAGCUGGAGCUCACACAGGUGUUACACGUUAGGACAGACACAAGAGGGAGGGAAAUGAAAUAUUACCACAAAGAAAAACUAAACAGAACUUCUGGAAGCUCCCAUUACAGUCCUCUCUGGGACCAUUACUGUUUAUAUUAUUAAAUGUUUUUUCAGGCUUCGGACAUAUGAAGGGGGCUCUGCCAUGCAACAGGAAGAAAGACCCUUUUCCUAAGGAUGUGUUGUGGUUCUUAUGGAUUCCUUACUUGUGGAACUGAACCCAUGUGGAGUUUCCCAGCAGAGCCAACAUGUGCUCUUCGAUCUGCAAGGAUAUCCUCUGAAAACCUCCACUGUGGAGCAAAACAAGACACACUGCUGUCUGCCUGCAAAGAUUUCUGUAUCCGGUCUCACUCUGAAGAUCAGUACUUGGUGGUGUGGAAGCAGAAGCACUCACUACAUGCCAGUCUGAACAUAAUACUGCUGACUGUCCAAGAAAAACACGACCGCCAUGCACUUUACUGGAGAUGAAUACAGCGCAGCUGAUGUAUCUGAACUCUGACAGUCCUCUGUGGCCUCACCCAUCAGCCCCCGUGUCCUUUGCACCUGUCAGAGCCUAAAAGCAAGGAAGAAGAACACUACGAUCUCUCUGACAACAUGACCAGCUCUGUCUUCAUCAGAAUGACCCAACAGCUGCUGUGUUUCAGGCUGGAGGCUGCAGACCCCUCAGACAGCACGGC
Long non-coding RNA from Oreochromis aureus, 966 nucleotides. RefSeq lists it as uncharacterized. The record is from RefSeq and is a predicted model, not a curated record. NCBI's taxonomy places the organism in Eukaryota, Metazoa, Chordata, Actinopteri, Cichliformes, Cichlidae. The transcript is spliced from 3 exons.